This 91-nucleotide transfer RNA is filed under the name Actinoplanes nipponensis. Its description in RNAcentral is "tRNA-Glu". Lineage: Bacteria; Bacillati; Actinomycetota; Actinomycetes; Micromonosporales; Micromonosporaceae. The record is from RNAcentral.
GUAGGCGUCGAUGAAGGAACGCCGCUUGCGCUCGCCAGGCGGCGGCUGGCGCAGCUUGGCAAUCUGGUGGUUCAGCAACCGCCCACCCGCU